GCCGUUGUAGCUCAGCUGGUAGAGCGCAUCCAUGGUAAGGAUGAGGUCACCGGUUCAAACCCGGUCAACGGCUCCA
RNAcentral lists this transfer RNA (76 nucleotides) under Candidatus Uhrbacteria bacterium CG22_combo_CG10-13_8_21_14_all_47_17. RNAcentral describes it as "tRNA-Thr". It matches the Rfam family "tRNA". Rfam says of the family: Transfer RNA (tRNA) molecules are approximately 80 nucleotides in length. Their secondary structure includes four short double-helical elements and three loops (D, anti-codon, and T loops). Further hydrogen bonds mediate the characteristic L-shaped molecular structure. tRNAs have two regions of fundamental functional importance: the anti-codon, which is responsible for specific mRNA codon recognition, and the 3' end, to which the tRNAs corresponding amino acid is attached (by aminoacyl-tRNA synthetases). tRNAs cope with the degeneracy of the genetic code in two manners: having more than one tRNA (with a specific anti-codon) for a particular amino acid; and 'wobble' base-pairing, i.e. permitting non-standard base-pairing at the 3rd anti-codon position. The record is from RNAcentral. Lineage: Bacteria; Candidatus Uhriibacteriota.